Non-coding RNA from Lolium perenne, 4706 nucleotides. The record is from RefSeq and is a predicted model, not a curated record. Lineage: Eukaryota; Viridiplantae; Streptophyta; Magnoliopsida; Poales; Poaceae.
GGAAAAGACUAACCAGCGUGUCCUUUUACCUGUUGACCGAGCGACGAGCAGCUCCUCUGCUUUUCCUUCAUCACGUGAGCAGAAGCCUGGGCAUCUCCCUCCUCCACUUUUCCCCUUGCCCAGUUCAAUCCAACAACCCUAGCUCUUUUUCCCUCUUGCUGCCGCCGUUGCCCAUCUCCUAUCCCCUCCUCCACAAGGGCUUCAGAGAAGAACAUCCAGGGAGAAUUCGGAAUUCAGUCGCCAAGUUCGCCGGAGAAAGGUCGCCGCCUCGCCACCGUUCCUUGCCGCCGUUCGCUGUACUGAGCGUGGGGAUGGAGCCCCCGUGGCCUCGUCUUCCUCCUCGCUGAGUCCACGGAGCCGGAGCAGCUCCGGGCGUCUUCUUCGACCUCGUCUUCUUCCCGGAGCCAGCACGUCUUCUUCCUCAUCUCCGACGACCCCGACGUCCUCAAGCUCGCCCACUUCGCCAUCAAACCCAGGACGCCGGUACCGAGGAGUGCCACGAGGAGUUUGCGUGCUACCCCGAGGAGGAUAUCGCUUGUGCCACUACUGCUGAUCCUGCAGGCGAGCCCGCCCUCCUUCACCUAUUUUAUAUUUCAGCUCUUGCUAUCUAUUUCUACCCUUAUGCUGCGUUUCUGUCGAGUCACGUGUCCUAUUCCACUUGUUUACCAUUUUGAGCCGUGUUUUCCCUUCCAUUACCUAUCAGCUGUUGUUUGAUGUUUGAUAAGCCUUGCGAGUCGUAGGCGUGCUUAGGGUCUUGUUGUUUAUCUCGAUAUGUUAUCGAGAUAUGUUGGGGUUGUUACAUGCCUUAUCUAUGGAUAAUGUUGGUGAAGUUAAUCAUGAUAUUAUUGCAACUAAAAUUGAGGUGGGAUAACUAUUAAUGCAGAGGCAUCGGUGGACGACACCUUUGUCAACCACUUGUGUCCCCUAGGACCCCGAGUUCUUGUUAUCUAUUCCGAGACUGAGCGCUCUACCCGUACGUGGGGGAGUGGGACCUCCAUCACCUACUACCUUACCUCGAGUCUGUUUAGCGGGAGCCACAACCUUGGUUUUAUUUGCCCAUAUGCACGAUUGCACGAUUUACUUCAUGUUGCCUUCGGGUGUUUAUAUCUUGUACUGUAUCAUAUCUUGCGUGCCGCCUUAUCCUUGGCCGGUUGUUAAUGCCCGCCUUGGACGCCAUCGCAACCUCUGGGUCCGUUUCGGAGCACGGCCGAACUCCAUCACGGGUAGCUUAGUUGGGUGGCUCCCAAUAAACUUGCUUGUAGCUUUGGGAAUGGUCUUGUCGUGAGCCUCUGGUUUUGACACCAGGGUCGAGCGUGCGUAUGGUUACAUUUGGGCAACCCCUGCAGGGUGUACAUCUUAUCGAUAAGCCGUGUCCGCGGUUAUGGACGACUUGGAAUUGUAUGGCUUGAUCAUAGAACAACUUACACCUUAUACUUGUUGUUAAUAAUUUGUUAAUAACUUGCGUAGUAAUAUAUCAUUACUACAACCAAUAUCUAAUAAAACUUGUCAACCGUUGAGUGCUUUUUACAUUGCCUCUUCGCAAUUGUUGAAGGGGAUAGGUGUAUUUGGCAGGGUUAUGCUUGUUGUAGUAUAUAGUUGGAUCCUUUAUGCGCUCUCUUACCUUCUCUAAAUAGACGGAAGUUGUAGCGUGUCUCUAUAAGUAUUGGUACAAGUUUUGCUGCCGCUAAACCCACCAUAUAGCCCGGCGAGCAUAGCCUAGUUCUAGUCUCGCUGAGUACACGUGCUUUGGUACUCACGCUCUGCUUUCUAUCUAUCUUUCGGCAACCGUUGGCCCGACUUGCAGGUACGUUUCCUUGCGAGUAUCCGGCAGGAGGAUACUACGUGGAGUACGAUGAUGAGGAUGUUUCUGAUCCGCAGUGAGAGUUCCUUAGCAACGACCUGAGAUCCGUGGAUGUGGGCAUCGUCUUAUUUAUGUUCUUGGCAUCUUAUGCCCAUUUGCAUCUUGUCUGUACCCAGACGAUAUAUUUGCUUCCGCAUGAUGUAUGAUGUAUUGUUGGGAUAUGUAUCCUAUGAGUGUCAUUUGCUAUCUUGCUCAUUAGAGCGUUGCUAUAUAAACUUAUUUCCAUCUUUUGUGUCAUAGACGUUAUUGUUGUGAUACUAUAUGUACUGUAUUUCACCCUUGUACCAUGUGCACCGUGCGUGUUUGUUUGAAGUGGACAGGAAGGUGAAGCACUCAGGCCUGGGACUAACCGUGAGCCUAUGAGGUCGGUAUUGUGUAUGGGCGUGUCGAGCUUUGCUUGGCCUACCCAUAAGCUUGGGAAUGCGAGGCGACCUCGCGGUCCCUUGUAGUGACCUCAUACACAAAAACUCCUCAUACAUGCGCGCUCUUACGUUCCCUACUCCUGGGGCUUACAGACUUGGUAUCAGAGCAUAAUACCCCCUCUAUUAGUUUGCCUGUUGUUUUUGUUUGUGCAUCAUAAGCAUCAUAUGCAUCUUAUCACGUCACCUUUGUUUUAUAAAAAUUGCAUCAGAUAGUGUUCUUGUGUUUUUGUUUGGCUCUCUCCCUCUCUCUUGUUUUUCUAAUCCAUGCUCCAACCCUCAAUCUUCUUCUCCUUCUCACUUGUGAUGUUCCAAUCCUAAUCUUAAUCUCCCCUCUCUUAAUCUUUGCUCUUGUCCAACCAGAACAUGUUUUUUUUUCCCAAAAUUCUAUCAAAGGUUAUAUAAAACCUCAUUUCUCCUCUUCUAUUUAUUUUGAAAUCAAAUAUAUUUCAGCAAAUCUGUAAACUAUGGCAGUUUGUUUUGUUUGAGAACUUACAGGGACAUUUUCAAAAAAAAACAAAUUUUCAAAUUAUGAUCUCUCCCUUUUAAUUCUAAAAUGAAGUUUUAAAUCAAAACAAAUAAAAUGAAACCUAAGCUAACUAACAUAGUCUAACUAGCCUGGGAGUGAGGUUUUGCCUAGUUUGUCUAACCCAACCCAGCGGCCACUUUGCCUAUCCAGGAGAGGAGCUCCUUUUGUCCCCGCUGCUCACGCGAGGCGUGUGAAGCUUUCGUGGUCGACGUCACCGUCGCCUUCCUCCCCUUCUAAUCCCACCCAGGACUCCAAGAACCCUAGCCCUUGUGUCCCUUCCCUUCCCAUCCGCCGCCAGUUUUCCCCUCUCCGAGAAAACAGAGAAUACUUCAGUUCAAAUUCAGAGAUUUUCGCCUGAGAAAGAUCGCCGCCGCGCCGUCGUUCCUCGUCGCCGUUCGCCGCGCCGAGUACGGGGAUGGAGCUGCCGUGGUGUCCUUGUUCUCUACGCUGAAGGCCAGGAGCGGAAGCUACUCCAGGACGAUGCCACGGAUCUCGCCGUCGUCGCCCUUUUUCUUCUACACCGACGGUCAUCGCUCGCCUCUGCUUCCUCUUCUUCGACUCCGCCGUCCCCGCGUCGUUUCCAUCUUCGACCACCACCAGGCAUUUGCUUCUUCCCGGAUAGGAUCACGAAGUGGUGAUGUGAGAUACGACGAGUUCUCCGACAAGUUCUCCUGCAGCUUUUCACAGGCGAGCCCACCCCUUCACCUAUUUUACUUUUAUAUGCUCUUUUGAUCUAUUGCUAUCCUUAUGUUGCGAUUCUGUUGUGUCACGUGUCCUAUCCACCUGUUACCUAUAUGUCCGAGAUACACCUCCUCGCCCUACCUAUUGUUUGUUGUUUGCCAGCUUUGCGAGUCGUAGGCGUGUUUAGGUUCUGUUGUUUAUCUCGAUCUGUUAUCGGGAUAUGUUGGGUUGUUGGGAGGUUAUCACAUGCUAUAUCUUUUGUUGGAGAUAAUCACACUUUACUUUAUUGUUAACAACUAAAAUUGUAAGCAGAGGCAUCUGUGAGCCCCUUUGCGAAAGCAUCGGAACUUUGACUUGCUAAUGUCCCCUAGGACCCGAGUUCUUGUUAUCUGUUCCGAGAUUGAGCGCUCUACCCGUACGUGGGGGAGUGGGACCCCCAUCACCCACUACCUUUCCUCGAGUCUGUUUAUUGGGAGCCACAACCUUGGUUUUAUUUGCUCAUAUGCACGAUGCACGAUUUACUUCUGUUGCCUUCGGGUGUUUAUAUUCUGUUAUGUACUCAUCUCGUGGAACGAUUAGCGAAAGCAGGUUGUUCACACUUAGCUUAGCCGUUGGCACAAACCUCUGGGUCCGUAUCGGAGUACGGCCGAACUUCGUCACGGGUAGCUUAGUGGGGUGGCUCCCCUUAAACUUUCUCUUGCAUUGGGAACGGUCUUGAUGUGAGACUCCACCUGUAGUAAGUGGGUUCGAGCAUGCGUAUGGUUACAUUUGGGCAACCCCUGCAGGGUGUACAUCUUAUCGAUAAGCCGUGUCCGCGGUUAUGGACGACUUGGAAUUGUAUAGCUCGAUCAUAGAACAACUUACACCUUAUUUCCUGUUGCUAAUAAUUUGCUAAUAAAACUGUUUCAAAAAGUGUGUGUGCCUUUGUCAGUACCUCUUUGCGAAGGGGGAUCGCAUCGGCUGUGUUAUGUUUGCAGAGUAUAGAACUGUUACCUUGUGCGCUCUCUUAUCUUCUCUGAGUAGACGGAUGUUGUAGCGAGUCUCUAUUGGAUAGUAGCUUUGUUGCCGCUAAACUCCACAUAUAGCCGGGUGAAGUUUAUACCGCCCACCAGCGAGCAUAGCUGGUCUUGUCUCGCAAGUACGUGCCAUUGGUACUUACCCUCGCCUUCCUUUCUUUUUGUCUCCUCCCCCUUUUGUCGGCAACCGAUGGCCCGAC